AGAGAGAGAGAGGAGCGAGCCUGCGUAUGUCGAAGAAACGGGCGGAUCGAUCCUUUGCACGGUUGCCUUCCCCGGUUUAUAUAGUGGAGCACGGUAUGGCGCCGUCAUUAAUGGCGCGGACAAGUGAGGAACUGUCAACUCACUGUGGGCCGCCAGAGCCGCCGUGAAAACAUCAUGUCGCCGUGUAGCCGUCUAAUCACCAGGGUUGACCCGGCUCUCGGCGGGAUAAUGCCCCUAGGUAACUGUGCCGCAUGUCCGUGUCAGAGCUGACAACGUCUGG
This 280-nucleotide long non-coding RNA is filed under the name Elaeis guineensis (African oil palm). RNAcentral's name for it is "long non-coding RNA (EGUI_LNC014235)". The record is from RNAcentral. Lineage: Eukaryota; Viridiplantae; Streptophyta; Magnoliopsida; Arecales; Arecaceae.